CCCUUAGAUGUUCUGGGCCGCACGCGCGCUACACUGAUGCAUUCAACGAGCCUAUCCUUGGCCGACAGGUCCGGGUAAUCUUUGAAUCUGCAUCGUGACGGGGAUAGAUUAUUGCAAUUAUUAAUCUUCAACGAGGAAUGCCUAGUAGGCGCAAGUCAUCAGCUUGCGUCGAUUACGUCCCUGCCCUUUGUACACACCGCCCGUCGCUCCUACCGAUUGGGUGUGCUGGUGAAAUGUUCGGAUCGGCCGUUUGUCGCGGUUUCCGCGUCAUGUGGCUGAGAAGUUCAUUAAACCCUCCCACCGAGAGGAAGGAGAAGUCGUAACA
RNAcentral lists this ribosomal RNA (325 nucleotides) under uncultured eukaryote. Its description in RNAcentral is "partial 18S ribosomal RNA". It matches the Rfam family "Eukaryotic small subunit ribosomal RNA", at positions 1470 to 1796 of the family's 1831-position model. The record is from RNAcentral.